This 497-nucleotide ribosomal RNA is filed under the name uncultured bacterium. RNAcentral describes it as "partial 16S ribosomal RNA". It matches the Rfam family "Bacterial small subunit ribosomal RNA", at positions 28 to 507 of the family's 1533-position model. The record is from RNAcentral.
GAUGAACGCUGGCGGCGUGCCUAAUACAUGCAAGUCGAGCGAACAGACGAGGAGCUUGCUCCUCUUACGUUAUCGUCGGACGGGUGAGUAACACGUGGAUAACCUACCUAUAAGACUUUGAUUACUUCUUGAAACCGGUGCUAUUACCGGAUAUUUUAUUUAACCUCAUUGUUCAUUAGUUUAUGUCGUUUUUUCUUUCUCUUUUUGUUGGAUCCCCUCCGCAUUAGCUAGUUGGUUAGGUAACGGCUUACCAAGGCAACGAUGCGUAGCCGACCUGAGAGGGGGAACGGCCAAACUGGAAGUGAGACAAGGUAAAGACACAUACGGGAGGAAGAAGUAGGGAAAGUAAAGAAAUGGGCGAAAGACUGACGGAGAAACGAAGAGUGAGAGAAGAAGGUCAAAGGAUCGUAAAACUAUGUUAUUAGGGAAGAAAAAAAGUGGAAGUAAGUAUGAACGUAAGGACGGUAACUAAUAAGAAAGAAACGGCUAACUACGUG